Molecule: ribosomal RNA, 449 nt
Filed under: uncultured bacterium
Lineage: Bacteria
Description: partial 16S ribosomal RNA
Rfam family: Bacterial small subunit ribosomal RNA
Source: RNAcentral
AUUGAACGCUGACGGCAGGCCCAACACAUGCAAGUCGAACGAAGUCUUCGGACUUAGUGGCGGACGGGUGAGUAACACGUGGGAACGUGCCUUUAGGUUCGGAAUAACUCAGGGAAACUUGUGCUAAUACCGAAUGUGCCCUUCGGGGGAAAGAUUUAUCGCCUUUAGAGCGGCCCGCGUCUGAUUAGCUAGUUGGUGAGGUAAAGGCUCACCAAGGCGACGAUCAGUAGCUGGUCUGAGAGGAUGAUCAGCCACAUUGGGACUGAGACACGGCCCAGACUCCUACGGGAGGCAGCAGUGGGGAAUCUUGCGCAAUGGGCGAAAGCCUGACGCAGCCAUGCCGCGUGAAUGAUGAAGGUCUUAGGAUUGUAAAAUUCUUUCACCGGGGACGAUAAUGACGGUACCCGGAGAAGAAGCCCCGGCUAACUUCGUGCCAGCCGCCGCCGUAA